Molecule: small nucleolar RNA, 50 nt
Filed under: Pyrobaculum calidifontis JCM 11548
Lineage: Archaea; Thermoproteati; Thermoproteota; Thermoprotei; Thermoproteales; Thermoproteaceae
Description: PCAsR63
Source: RNAcentral
GUGAUGGAGUCAGGGUUACGGCGAUAGAUGACCGGAGGCGCUAUCGCUGA